RNAcentral lists this transfer RNA (76 nucleotides) under Candidatus Yanofskybacteria bacterium RIFCSPHIGHO2_01_FULL_44_22. RNAcentral describes it as "tRNA-Val". It matches the Rfam family "tRNA". From Rfam's summary of the family: Transfer RNA (tRNA) molecules are approximately 80 nucleotides in length. Their secondary structure includes four short double-helical elements and three loops (D, anti-codon, and T loops). The record is from RNAcentral. Lineage: Bacteria; Candidatus Yanofskyibacteriota.
GGGCGGUUAGCUCAGCUGGUAGAGCGUCUCGUUGACGUCGAGAAGGCCAUAGGUUCGAGUCCUAUACCGCCCACCA